RNAcentral lists this unclassified non-coding RNA (4618 nucleotides) under Polistes dominula (European paper wasp). Its description in RNAcentral is "serine-rich adhesin for platelets, transcript variant X8". The record is from RNAcentral. Lineage: Eukaryota; Metazoa; Arthropoda; Insecta; Hymenoptera; Vespidae.
AUCAUUAAGAUAAAUAGAGAGAGAAAAGAGAUAUGAACUUAUAUGCAGUGUGUGUAUAUCGUGGGGAAUAAAGUCAUUUAUUUCGUAUAUCUUGGACGGUGCAGUGCGCGAAAAGUGCGAGAGAGCAAAUCGUGUCGUUUCUCUCUCUCUCCCUCUCUUCUUCUUUUUCUCUUUCUCUUUCUUUUUCUUUCUUUCUUUCUUUUAUUCGCGCUCGCGCGUGACUGUGUGUGGCGGGUAUCGCGUAAAAACGAGAAACGGGAAGAGAGACUGUGAUACAGGAAUACUGACUGCAUAGUAGUGAAAAGGAGAAAGAAGAAAGAAAAGAGAAAGGUCAAAGAAGAAGAAGAAGAAGAAGAAGAAGAAGAAGAAGAAGAAGAAGAAAAAGAAGGAAUCGUGGGGUGUGCUGAUGCUAAGUUAGGGAAAGGGGGUGGGGUAGGAAUGGACAACCGAACAAGAGAAAAGAGAAAGAUAAUGAAAUAGAAUAAGAUAAAAACGAAAGAUAAAAGGAUAAAAAAAAUCAAAAGAGAAACGAAAUAAUGAACAACGACUAGGACUAGGAAUUUAGGACCCUACGAUUAGGACAACGACGACGACGAAGCAAAGGAAUAAUAAAUCAGUGACAACAAGGAAUAUAUAUACAUAUAUAUACGAUAAACAACGACACGAUUUUACAUGAUAAUAAAGUGCGUGUAUAAUAAUAAUAAUAAUAAUAUUAAUAAUAUUAAUAAUUACGUGCGAUUGUUAAUAAUAUUAUCGCGUGAAAAGGGUUGAAUCCUUACAAAUGACAGGAAGGUGAUCAAUGUGCACGAAAUAUGGCUGAGGAGUUGGUGGUCACCCUGAACCGCGGCGGUGACUCCUCUGGAUUUGGUUUCUCCCUUUUGGCAACGGCGGGACUUCCUCACAUUAUUUACGACAUCGUUGAAAACUCGCCGGCUGCUAAGUGUGGAAAGGUCGAGGCCGGUGACGUAAUACUCAGGGUAAACGAAGUUGAUGUCAACCGAUUUAGUACUAAAGAAGUGCUGAAAUGUCUGCGGCUCUCAUCGGACCCCGUCACCCUGAAGCUAAGAAGGGAUCCCGCGAUAAAGGCGCACGUGCGUCGACUCCUGUCACCCGGGGAUGCAACACACGAGGAGAAUUCAAGCGAAAUUGGGAAAUCAACUCGGGAAGAAUGUUCAAUCGCGCAAAACUCUAGAGACGUGAAAUCUUCAUCGAGUAGUGGUUGUGAAAACGAGGAAUCGAGAAAAUCUGGGUCACCACCGGUAUUAGCAGUGAAUUCACCCCAAAAUCCUCAAGGUGGGGGUCCCACGCAGUAUUCAACCAGAAGCAAUGGUUCCUAUAGCGAUCCUUCGAGUUCGUCAGAAUUGGAGGCCCUUUUACCAUCAAUGGAUAGCUUCAAGGAAGAGGAACGUGCUCAGUGGGAGCCACUUUCUGGUGAAAAGUUUGGUCGUCAGAAGAACACGCCUAGGUUCGAAGCUUAUAUGAUGACCGGAGAUCUCAUGCUGAACCUGUCGCGAACGCAGCAAAGCAGCGGUUUCCUGCCGAAGUACCAGAAGAAAGUCGACUCGCUUAGGUACAACAAUCAUCACUCCCACCAUCACCAUAAUCAUCACAAUCACCACCAUCAUAAGUCGGUACCUACCAGUCCUAACGAGAUGCUGGGCCAUCACCGUGCUUACAAGUGCACUGGCUCGAACUCGGCCAGCACUUCGCCGGUCGGGAUCAGCAAACGCGAGGGCGGCCAAUGCCCGAGCCAGGGCGACUCUAGCAAGCCCAAUGCCGCCGCGAGCAGUUUUGGUUAUUCGAGCGGUUUUGUACGUACCUCGCGCUCCGAGGAUCACUUGCAAUUCCAAAAGGACCCUUCGAUGAGCGCGGUGGACAUAGACAUUGACGAUGACGUCACGUCCAGCCUAAAUACCCUGUUGGACACGCGGCCGGAUAGCGGCCAGGGCCUGUCCAGCGAGAGAAUCGUCUGGACGUACAACGCACCGGUUAGCUCGUCCUCUGCCUCGGAGCGCACCUCCUGCUGCCAAAAUGGCAGCUCCUCUCAAUCUUCAUCCUCGCCCUCGAGUUCCUCGAGCUCCUCGACGGAGGGUACAAGCCCUCAGCGUUCCUUAUCACCUGCCUCUCCGACCUCAGUCUCGUCCUCCGUCAUGUCCUCCAAUUCUGGAUCCCGUAGGUUCCCACCACCGGUACCGACUGCUCCGCCGGCCCUGGUGGGACCCUCGGGCGACGGGACCACCUCCUCGACCUCCGGCCUACAUCCCACCAACGGCGACCUCAGCCAGUCGGAGGCCAUCAGCAACAUGUCCAGUCCGGAUUACAACGACGAGGAGACCAUGGAUAUUCUCAGUGUGCGCGACAUUAUGAUGGUCAGUGAUCCCAGUGACAGUGACUCGACGAUACUCGCGAGCGAACCACCUCAGAGGAGACUCAAGCAGAGCUCGGCAUCGAAUACUAACGCUGCUACGCCUUCUUACGCUCAACAACAACAACAACAACAACAACAGCAACAGCAACAGCAACAACAGGACUCUUCGGCUGAACAUAGGAUAGUAAUACAAGUUAAAGGACCGGACAAGGAUUCUUCUUCGAGAAACUCUAGUCCAAGGCAGACAAGGAGAAGGACGAUUCCUUCUGGGGGUGGNGGUGGUAACGCUUCUUCCGUUGAUCUUUUACCACCAAAUAUUUCGACGGUACAAAAUGCUGCCCAACGAUCCUCGCCUUCGACUCUUACCUCUGGUAACGUUACUCCAGAGUUUGUUGGUUAUCAGGAGCUCAAGGAAAGCGAGGACGAAAGGGAAGCUUACAGUGCUGGAUUCUACGACGAUCAGAAACAUAGCAGUGCUUCCCCACCUCAGUCAGCCGACGAGGAAAGCGAUAUCGAGAGUCUCCAUAGCUUCCAUUACAGUCCAAAAGCGGUUGAUCUACCGUCCGCCGUUCGACUAGCUAAAAGGCUAUUUUCUUUAGAUGGCUUUAAGAAAUCCGAUGUCUCCAGACAUCUUAGUAAAAACAACGACUUUAGUAAAGCGGUAGCCGAGGAGUACUUGAAAUAUUUCAACUUUGAACGAGACACGCUGGACGUGGCUCUCAGAAAGUUCCUUGUGCAGUUCUCUUUAACGGGAGAGACCCAAGAAAGGGAGCGAGUUCUUGUACAUUUCUCUAAGAGGUAUCUUGAUUGUAAUCCCGGCACGUUUCGCUCUCAAGAUGCUGUUCACACAUUAACUUGUGCUAUUAUGUUGCUAAAUACCGAUCUUCAUGGGCAGAAUAUCGGUAGAAAAAUGUCGUGCUCGGAGUUUAUAGAAAAUUUAUCAGAAUUAAACGACGGUGAUAAUUUCCCUAGGGAGGUGCUAAAGCAACUUUACAAUGCUAUCAAAUCAUAUCCCUUGGAUUGGGCUUUGGAUGAUGAAGGUGACGAAACGACUGCUCAGGUUAUCCAACAGGGUGAUGGACCAGCGAUAGCUGGUACUGGAAAUCCAUUUCUCGAUGUGCCAAAUGUUACAGGUGCUACGGAGUUCAAGAAGGGUUACGUUAUGCGCAAAUGUUGUUACGAUUCCAAUGGGAAAAAAACUCCCUUCGGAAAGAGAGGUUGGAAGAUGUAUUAUUGUACAUUGAGAGAGCUUGUAUUAUAUUUACAUAAAGACGAGCAUGGCUUCCGUAACGAUAGUUUGCACAAUGCUAUACGUAUUCAUCAUGCAUUAGCUACAAAAGCAUCGGAUUACACGAAGAAGCAACACGUUUUCAGGCUACAAACUGCCGAUCAAGCGGAAUAUCUUUUCCAAACGAGCGAUUCCAAAGAACUUCAAUCGUGGAUCGACACGAUCAAUUUUGUAUGCGCCAGUUUCUCAUGCCAGCCCCUCGCAGGAGCCGUCGGUUCUCAACGAAAAUUUCAGCGGCCUCUCCUACCAUGCAGUCACACCAAAUUAUCUCCUAGAGAACAGUUACGGGACCACGAGGAUAGAGUUAACAGACUGGAAGCUGAGUUGGACGAACAUAAACGACAUCCUCCGGAAAAAGGAGCUAAAGCUUUAGCCGUACAAAAUUAUAAAGAGAAGGGUGCAUACUUGUAUCACGAGUUAAAAAGGUACAAGACGUAUGCCUACUUGUUACGUUCAAGACUGGCAUUCACAGAAGUUGAACCAUCCCUGGUAGAAAGCAGUAUCGGUGAAGUGGAUGAAGGAAGUGGCGCUUUGUUGAAUGCUGACGUAGCGUUAGUACCUCCUCCAGUUCCUGAUCGACCAGCCAUAAAUAGGGCCGACCCGAUAUCGUCGUAAUCAAGAUCAAGAAAAUGUGCUCAUUAAUUCAACAUGGAGUAUUACACCAAGCGGAGGAAUCAAAAUAUCGAUUGAUUUGAAAAGGAAAAAGAAAAAAGAAAAUAAAAUCACAGAUUGAAAGAAGAAGACGUACUUUUUAGAAAUGAACACAUUACGUAACAUAGAAUCAUUCGUAAUAAUAUUAUUCAUAUUGAAAUACUACUACUACUACUACUAUUACACAACAACAACAACAACAACAACAACCAACAACCAACAAACAUGCACACGCAUAAAAUAUACUAUUUUAUUUAUUUUACAAUUAAGCUUUAUCGAUUCCGAGUAGAGACAUAUGGAGGAAAAUAAAA